CCCUUAGAUGUUCUGGGCCGCACGCGCGCUACACUGAUUCAUGCAACAAGUUUUGUCCUUGGCUGAUAGGCCUGGGUAAUCUUUGAACGUGAAUCGUGAUGGGGAUAGAUGAUCGCAAUUAUUCAUCUUCAACGAGGAAUUCCUAGUAAACGCAAGUCAUCAGCUUGCAUUGAUUACGUCCCUGCCCUUUGUACACACCGCCCGUCGCACCUACCGAUUGAAUGGUCCGGUGAAAUCUUCGGAUCUGAGAGAUGUCUGAUUAAUUUCGGACGCCUUUUGGAAAAGUUGCUUAAACCUUACCAUUUAGAGGAAGGUGAAGUCGUAACA
Molecule: ribosomal RNA, 327 nt
Filed under: uncultured eukaryote
Lineage: Eukaryota
Description: partial 18S ribosomal RNA
Rfam family: Eukaryotic small subunit ribosomal RNA
Source: RNAcentral